GCCUCUAUCGUAUAAUGGCUAUUACGGUAAUCUUGUAAAUUACAUACGGAAGUUCGAUUCUUUCUGGAGGCA
Non-coding RNA from Naganishia onofrii, 72 nucleotides. The record is from the annotation of a GenBank genome assembly. Lineage: Eukaryota; Fungi; Basidiomycota; Tremellomycetes; Filobasidiales; Filobasidiaceae.